GACGAACGCUGGCGGCGUGCUUAACACAUGCAAGUCGAACGGAAAGGCCCUGCUUUUGUGGGGUGCUCGAGUGGCGAACGGGUGAGUAAAACGUGAGUAAACUGCCCUUGACUUUGGGAUAACUUCAGGAAACUGGGGCUAAUACCGGAUAGGAGCUACUGCUGCAUGGGGGGGGUUGGAAAGUUUCGGCGGUUUGGGAUGGACUCGCGGCUUAUCAGCUUGUUGGUGGGGUAGUGGCUUACAAAGGCUUUGACGGGUAGCCGGCCUGGGAGGGUGGCCGGCCACCUGGGGCCUGAGGUACGGCCCAGACUCCUACGUGACGCAGCAGUGGGGAAUAUUGCACAGUGGGCGGAAGCCUGAUGCGGCAACGCCGCGUUCGGGAUGACGGCCUUCGGGUUGUAAACCGCUUUCGCCUUUGACGUAGCGUGAUUGACGGUAAUGGGUAAGGAAGCACCGGCUAACUACGUG
This 468-nucleotide ribosomal RNA is filed under the name uncultured bacterium. Its description in RNAcentral is "partial 16S ribosomal RNA". It matches the Rfam family "Bacterial small subunit ribosomal RNA", at positions 28 to 507 of the family's 1533-position model. The record is from RNAcentral.